RNAcentral lists this long non-coding RNA (230 nucleotides) under Elaeis guineensis (African oil palm). RNAcentral describes it as "long non-coding RNA (EGUI_LNC066079)". Lineage: Eukaryota; Viridiplantae; Streptophyta; Magnoliopsida; Arecales; Arecaceae. The record is from RNAcentral.
CAUGGGAGAUGUUGAAAAUUUGAUGAUAAGAGCCUUAGAGAAAGUCUCUUUAAAUUGGCAAGAGAUUUAAAUACUAUUUAAAAUCAAAUAGUCUCUUAAUAUAAGCCCUACUUGUAUUAGGAAUCCUUGUAGCCUUAGAUAUUUGACCCCUUUUAGGAGAUCUAUAAGGUGCCAACUAUUAGAGGCUUUUCAUCCACUUUUUUUACAUACUACAUAGGGCUUAGGGGACA